UCUCUUUCUUGCAAAGGUGUCAGAAAUGAACUUCUGUGCUACUGUAGACCCUGGGAUAGGGACUGAGAGGAGAUGCUUUCUGCCUUGUUUAUGCUAUGGCUGGUGGCUGGGUCAGGUGGAAUUGCUUUAACUGGUGUUCCUGUCUUCCUUGUCCUUGUGGGUGCUGUAUCACUGGGGAACCUCAAGGGAUGUCCUGAUGGUACCUUUUUCUGCCCCAGAAUGUCCCUGUCAGGAGACUGUGGAGCUGACAUAGCAGGUGAAAGUCAGAGAAAAGACAGAGAAAGAAGGAAGGAUAGAAGUAGAGAGAGAAGCAAAAGAGGGAAUAUUUCAACAAAAAGAAAAAGACUAACAGCUCAGCGUCCAAAUCCACUGCAUGUGGGGAUAUAAGAGAAGAUCCUGCUGGGUGUAUCUCCAUAGUGCAGACAACCUAUACAGACUGCCCGCCGACGACCGGGGUCUCUUGGCGUUUCAUCUCUUCUUACUUGGCGUGGGUGUAUCUAAACAACAUCUAUUUCUUAUAACAGAGUGUUGAUAGAAUUUCUCAAUAAUUACCCUUGGGUGAGGAGGCUUCAGGCAAGACCCAGCAGUGCAAUGCAGUCUUUGCAACCAUUGUCCUAGUGGCAAGAAUGUACAGAAAUUUGAUUUCUUGAAAGUAAUCUUCACAUUUUUUAAAUUAAGGUUAAAAUGUAAUGCCUGACUCCCAAUAAAAUACAAUGGAAGUCAGGUGUCUACCUCCAUUAGGCAUCUUUGAAAAUCCUGCCUACACAAAUUGAGCACUUGCAAACAA
Long non-coding RNA from Mauremys reevesii (Reeves's turtle), 787 nucleotides. RefSeq lists it as uncharacterized. The transcript has 3 exons. The record is from RefSeq and is a predicted model, not a curated record. Lineage: Eukaryota; Metazoa; Chordata; Testudines; Geoemydidae.